RNAcentral lists this ribosomal RNA (1313 nucleotides) under Salmonella enterica. Its description in RNAcentral is "partial 23S ribosomal RNA". It matches the Rfam family "Bacterial large subunit ribosomal RNA", at positions 1511 to 2802 of the family's 2925-position model. RNAcentral also lists the same sequence under 2 other names. Lineage: Bacteria; Pseudomonadati; Pseudomonadota; Gammaproteobacteria; Enterobacterales; Enterobacteriaceae. The record is from RNAcentral.
UUUAAGCGUGUAGGUGUGUGUUCCAGGUAAAUCCGGUUCACUUUAACACUGAGGCGUGACGACGAGGCACUACGGUGCUGAAGCAACAAAUGCCCUGCUUCCAGGAAAAGCCUCUAAGCAUCAGGUAACAUCAAAUCGUACCCCAAACCGACACAGGUGGUCAGGUAGAGAAUACCAAGGCGCUUGAGAGAACUCGGGUGAAGGAACUAGGCAAAAUGGUGCCGUAACUUCGGGAGAAGGCACGCUGACACGUAGGUGAAGUGAUUUACUCAUGGAGCUGAAGUCAGUCGAAGAUACCAGCUGGCUGCAACUGUUUAUUAAAAACACAGCACUGUGCAAACACGAAAGUGGACGUAUACGGUGUGACGCCUGCCCGGUGCCGGAAGGUUAAUUGAUGGGGUCAGCGCAAGCGAAGCUCCUGAUCGAAGCCCCGGUAAACGGCGGCCGUAACUAUAACGGUCCUAAGGUAGCGAAAUUCCUUGUCGGGUAAGUUCCGACCUGCACGAAUGGCGUAAUGAUGGCCAGGCUGUCUCCACCCGAGACUCAGUGAAAUUGAACUCGCUGUGAAGAUGCAGUGUACCCGCGGCAAGACGGAAAGACCCCGUGAACCUUUACUAUAGCUUGACACUGAACAUUGAGCCUUGAUGUGUAGGAUAGGUGGGAGGCUUUGAAGUGUGGACGCCAGUCUGCAUGGAGCCGACCUUGAAAUACCACCCUUUAAUGUUUGAUGUUCUAACGUGGACCCGUUACCCGGGUUGCGGACAGUGUCUGGUGGGUAGUUUGACUGGGGCGGUCUCCUCCUAAAGAGUAACGGAGGAGCACGAAGGUUGGCUAAUCCUGGUCGGACAUCAGGAGGUUAGUGCAAUGGCAUAAGCCAGCUUGACUGCGAGCGUGACGGCGCGAGCAGGUGCGAAAGCAGGUCAUAGUGAUCCGGUGGUUCUGAAUGGAAGGGCCAUCGCUCAACGGAUAAAAGGUACUCCGGGGAUAACAGGCUGAUACCGCCCAAGAGUUCAUAUCGACGGCGGUGUUUGGCACCUCGAUGUCGGCUCAUCACAUCCUGGGGCUGAAGUAGGUCCCAAGGGUAUGGCUGUUCGCCAUUUAAAGUGGUACGCGAGCUGGGUUUAGAACGUCGUGAGACAGUUCGGUCCCUAUCUGCCGUGGGCGCUGGAGAACUGAGGGGGGCUGCUCCUAGUACGAGAGGACCGGAGUGGACGCAUCACUGGUGUUCGGGUUGUCAUGCCAAUGGCACUGCCCGGUAGCUAAAUGCGGAAGAGAUAAGUGCUGAAAGCAUCUAAGCACGAAACUUGCCCCGA